RNAcentral lists this ribosomal RNA (437 nucleotides) under uncultured Clostridium sp. RNAcentral describes it as "partial 16S ribosomal RNA". It matches the Rfam family "Bacterial small subunit ribosomal RNA", at positions 341 to 792 of the family's 1533-position model. The record is from RNAcentral. Lineage: Bacteria; Bacillati; Bacillota; Clostridia; Eubacteriales; Clostridiaceae.
ACGGAAGGCAGCAGUGGGGAAUAUUGGGCAAUGGGCGAAAGCCUGACCCAGCAACGCCGCGUGAAGGAAGAAGGCCUUCGGGUUGUAAACUUCUUUUAUCAGGGACGAAGGACGUGACGGUACCUGGAGAAAAAGCAACGGCUAACUACGUGCCAGCAGCCGCGGUAAUACGUAGGUUGCAAGCGUUGUCCGGAUUUACUGGGUGUAAAGGGCGUGUAGGCGGAGCUGCAAGUCAGAUGUGAGAUCCCGGGGCUCAACCCCGGAACUGCAUUUGAAACUGUAGCCCUUGAGUAUCGGAGAGGCAAGCGGAAUUCCUAGUGUAGCGGUGAAAUGCGUAGAUAUUAGGAGGAACACCAGUGGCGAAGGCGGCUUGCUGGACGACAACUGACGCUGAGGCGCGAAAGUGCGGGGAUCGAACAGGAUUAGAUACCCUGGUA